This 232-nucleotide ribosomal RNA is filed under the name uncultured bacterium. Its description in RNAcentral is "partial small subunit ribosomal RNA". It matches the Rfam family "Bacterial small subunit ribosomal RNA", at positions 26 to 288 of the family's 1533-position model. The record is from RNAcentral.
AGAACGAACGCUGGCGGCAGGCUUAACACAUGCAAGUCGAGCGCCCCGCAAGGGGAGCGGCAGACGGGUGAGUAACGCGUGGGAACAUACCCUCCGGUUCGGAAUAACUCAGGGAAACUUGAGCUAAUACCGGAUACGGUCGAGAGGCGAAAGAUUUAUCGCCGGAGGAUUGGCCCGCGUCCGAUUAGCUAGUUGGUGUGGUAAUGGCGCACCAAGGCGACGAUCGGUAGCU